Long non-coding RNA from Strigops habroptila (Kakapo), 5179 nucleotides. RefSeq lists it as uncharacterized. NCBI's taxonomy places the organism in Eukaryota, Metazoa, Chordata, Aves, Psittaciformes, Psittacidae. The transcript is spliced from 2 exons. The record is from RefSeq and is a predicted model, not a curated record.
UCUAUGAUCUGGGCCACUGAAAUUUGCUAACUUUGAAUUCUGCAAUGGUAUUUUUAGAAUUGGUUUCUGAAUGUGGAGCCAUGCUUUAAUUUCUAUGCAAGACUAGAAUACCAUGUUGGCUGACCCCUAUAAAUGCUUGAGCGUGUUUGGAAGAAGCACAUCUGUGUCUAAUGGGUCUAAUUAGAAAUUAAAAACUUGCUGCUUUAUAGCUUUGGGUGAGUAGAAAAGGAUUUUAAUAGAGAGACUGUGUCUUGAUAUACACAUGGUGGGGGGAUAAGAAGAAAGGUGACCCUCAGAAACGUCACACUAGUUUCUUCCAGUUUUUGAGGCAUGUGCACAAAAGCCCAGUAUGUUUCCAUCUUUAAAUAAUGCUCAGAUCUCUAGAGGUAAAUGCUAUUAUACACUUCAUCUUGGUUAAAAUAUAGGUGAAUGCCAUUGAUUUGCCCUGCUUCCUAGCUGUGGUAAGUGCUGCUUUCAAGCGCUUGUGUCUCACAAGAAAAUGACAGCAUGUUUUCAGCAGCACGUGGAAACAUGAAGGCGUAUCAUGAGAUAAUUAUUGGAGCGCAGAGCCUGCUUCCAUAACAUAGUUUGGUUGCGGAAGGACAGGAGGCUUAUGCGACAGUGAAUCUGUCCAUUUUCCUCUGGCAUAUGUUUUUGUUGGCUGAUACAAGCCAAUUUUAUAGCUCUUUUCCAAAGAUAAUUAGGACACCAUAUUUCAGGUUCACUGAAAAACAGCAGAAGGGUAGAAGAGACCCACAUGAGUGCCCCACUAUGGGAAGCACGGGUGGAAUUAAGGCAGGCUGGGGUCUGUGUGGCAUCUGCCUGCAAGCUGGGCCGUGCUCUCGCCUGGUCCGUGUGAUGCUUUCUGCUUCCUGACAGUGAUGAUCUGGGAGCUAUAUUGCAGAGAGCUGGGGAGAGGAUGGUUAAAGGGCAAAAUAAAGAAAUCUUUGUGUAACCAAGAUUCAUUAGUUUUCCUGAUUAUGGAACAGUCUGUUACUUUUAUUUUAGAAGGAAAGUAGAAGGGUUGAUAUUUAGAGAAAAAAUCUGGCUAUGGAUCAGUGUAAUCUAACAACUUGUGAAGUACAAAGCGUGUUGAUGAAGGGUGAACUUUGCCCACAUGGUAGCUAAGAGCUUGGGGUCGGGACUAUAUGAGAUAAUUCAGAAAGGGCCCUCUGAGCAUCAUGUUUUCUUAACUUUCAUCUUGUUUCUGAGGCCAUAAGCUUAAUUCCUUCCACCCUGUGCUUCAGUUUCUUUGUUCCUGCUUCUCUGAUGCAUCUCCUAUUGUCCCCAGUAGCCCAAUGUUCCUCUGUAUAUUGUUCAAGGUUUUGAUAGUUGGGGAUUUUUUUGUUGUUUAAAUGAUAAAUUGUGAUUUCCUUCAGGCAGAAGAUGGAAGAAAAAUACAAUCUAAGCAACAGAUUGAAUUGUUCUGUGAAAGCCUCAGUUACAAUAAUGUUGGCAUUUCCCUCUCCCACACAGUCUUAUAUUGAAAGAUGUGAUUGGGAAAAGAGCCGUAUUGGAGAAACCUGCACUAGUGUUUCAGACGCUUUAAAUGAAUUAGCUGUCCAUCACAUCACAACAGAGCAUAGCCACUCAAGUCGUGCUGUGGUCCAUUUUCAUUAGCAGAGUUCCUUUUGCUUGUACAAAUUCACUUCAAAAUCUAAGUAGAAACGAAAAUUAAUCGCUUUCUGCUGCUCUGAUGUUCUGGGGCAAAGUGCAAUGACUGUGCUCUUACACAAAAAGUCAUCUGUCACCCAACUCUGCUAGCCUGUGCACAUCCCAUGGGAGUGGGGAGCCUUGGCAUUCUGGCGUGGGCCAGCCUACCAGCCAGAUUCAGUGUGAACCAUCUGCCCUUCACAGCAGUGCUCUGUAAUAAUCUCGGCGUGUUUUAUGCCCUGGGAACUUUGUGCAAACACUUUCUCAUAUGGUGGAUAACGAGGAAGUCCUAAACAUUUCCAGCCUGCAGAGAGGCUGAGAAAGCAGUAGCUGAAUCUGGGGUGGGUCAGAUGCCAGGGGUUAGCAGAGAUGGUGAUGCCGUGGACUAAAAAUACUCAUUCCACCACACACAGUGCUGGCAGAUUGAGCCCUGGCACACUGAGCUGCUCUUGCACAGCCACUUCUGCAGGGAAGGCAGUUCACUGCACUGUGCUUGUCCCUGUGGAGACAAGCUGUUCUCUCUGCACAGCCCAGAGCAUCUUUCCCAGCCCUCUCUGGUUUCUGCUACCAGGCUGCAGCUGUAGGGGUGGUUUUGCUAACCACUAAUCAUUUGUUUAAUUCAAACAGGGAAGGAAGGGUGUUGGUGAAUGUGGCUUUUCUCCCACUAUCUUAGAUUUCAGAGCUGCUGUCUCUAACGCUGCACUGUGGGGGAGGAUCGUUUUGUUCUUUUCAUGUGGAGCUGUGACGUGUAAGUCAUCAUGACCUGUAAACCCUCAUCCUCUUGGGGUCCUCCUUAUCGGCUGUAUAUAGCCAGAGUGGGGCAGUAUCCUCCAAGCUGGCUGAGGAUGGUGGGAAACAGAGAGGAGAGGGAAUGCAAUGCUGGAGGGCAACAGAGCAGCUUCAUUCUCCCAGAAACCUGUCCCCCGUCUCCAAGAUUGCACAGUCUGACCUUCAAAAAAGGGGAUGAGCUUCAGGAAACUUGGACAGAGGUUUUCCAUGUUGCAGAGUGCUGGAUAGAUGGAGUAGCACAGCAGUUCUGUAGUUCAUAUUGGGCUCAAAAGACAUACUUAUGCACCCCUGAAUUCUCAGAGCUGGGACAAAAGACUGGGAGAGAAACAUUGCGUUGUCUGUCACAGCCGCUGAUGGAAUUAAAAUAUGUCAGGAUUCCUGAUAAAGUGGUCCUGCUCUUUAGUAUGGUGGAGCCCCAUUUAGUCAGCACCUGCAGAAAUUGAGGUAUCUGAGUUGGAUCUUCCAGUUCGUUUCAUUGCUGGAAAGGAGGAGCAUUAUAUGUUUGAAGCCAUGUUUCAGUUGUGAACAAGAGAGAUUUUCCAUUGUGUUUUCCCCCAUCCUUCUCUUUGGUUUUUUUUUUGACAUUUUUAAAUAACAGAUAGUUGCUAACCAGACUGUUCCAAAAUCAGCAGAGUAAAACAGAGCUAGUUUUGCUAAGUUUUACUGCUCAUGAUCCUUUUCUCCUCCCGAAUAGAAGCAUGCAGAACGUCUGUUCUCGCUGUGCUGCUGGUGGGCAGAGCACAAACAGCCACAGAAGUCCUGUCCAUCUGCAGGCAAAGGACAGCAUCGUGUUGCCUCACAUGCGGAAGCACAGGGGUCAGGGGUUUGCUGCUUUCCCAUGCAAAGUUUGCUUUUCUAGCAGGUGUGGUCAUCUCUGUUAGGGACUGAGUCCUGGGCUGCUGUUUUGUAUUGGCUACAUAAAUGACUGCUAAUAAAAUCUACAAUUAAACCAGGGCACCGAGGUGAAAAGCUCUGUCUUCUUUCAGCAGCGCCUUACAACAUUAAGUCAUCAGGGUCAAUCUUAUGAACAGAAUUGGCAAAUUGACAAGUCAUUUUUUUUUUUUAAUCUAACUGCCUUUGGAUUGUGAUGAUCAGUUCGAUCCACUGACACUUAAAUGAUUCAAAACCUUCAAAUCACUGUCUUGGACAGUAAACACCUUGACAUAGUUUCCAAAACCAAUUAUAAACUACAGUUAAAAGGCUGUUUUAAUUAUUGAAAACACCCCUGAGAUAAAUACACCUUCAGAAUGUUAGAUGCCUCCUUCUGAAACUUGUUGUAUAUGAACUGAGACAAAUACAAAAGGAGAAGAAGUCAACUGUAAGAGAGGUAAAUCUGCUGUCUGCCUUCUAAUCUUGUGACUCCCAUGUGGUGUUUCAGGCUAUGUUCUGAAUGGCAAGAUGAGUAUACUGGUCCUAAAAAUUUUAAUAAGCCUUUUGUAAAUGAGUUUUAACUUAAUUAAGAAUUUCUAGCUAUGGUUAUGACCUGCAGAGAAAUGUUUAAUUGGCUGUUUUCCCUAGCUGGUUAAAUGCCUUCUUACUAGAAGUGUGUAUGCUUAUGGGAUUUGAAUGCUUCAAACCUAGUGUAAGCCAGGAUUCCUGUACUUAACACUGCUGCCAAAAUUUUCACCAGUGACCUCUGCCAAGUCAACUCUUCACUUCAGCACCCACUUGCCUGCCCUGGUCUGCUUUUCCCUCGGAGAUGAAUGCGGGUAGUGGGAGGCAACAGAAACAUACUCUUCUUUGAUGGAAGCAUGGGCAGAGGUAGAGUUUCCCACAGAGGUGGAGUCUCCAUCCCUGGGGAUACUCAAAAUCCAUCUUGUUAUGGUCCUUGAGCAGGGUGGGGUUGGACCAGAUGACUUGCAGAGGUCCCUUCAUACCUCAGCCAAGCCUGUGUUCCUGCUUGGUUGUGGUUGAAAACAAUCCAGAGUUUGAAUUCAUAUUUCAGCGGUUGAUAGCCAAAACCUGGAAAUCCAGUCACGUCUGCGUACAGCCAUUAUUGAGCUUAAUGAGAAUUGUAUAUCUGCAACAAAUGGCUCCCUGUUCAUCUUCAUAAAAUCCUCCACUGCUAAAAUGAUCUCAGACAGUUUUUGCAUGAAUCCCUGGUUGAAAGUAACUGUCUUGUAGCAGUGGCCAUCUGGAAAUGCCUGUUACAGCAUAGCUAUGAGGGGUGAAGACAAUCUCUCUCAUUUCCCAUAUAAAACUCUUUAAGUAUUGUGUUUCAUUUGAGAGAGCAGCCACAUGGUAGUUACCACUGUUGCAAACCACUGCACUGAUUCAGAUGCAUUGAGAUGAGCAGAUAGUGUGAAGAAGUGGAUAGAAAAUGCCAGAGGACUGCGUGUGCAAGAAAACCUUUAAAGCAAGUGCUGCUGGAAGAGUGAGCAAUAUUCUGCUUAUUAAUGUAGAUUGGAAUUUCCUGCUAGCACAGAAUAAUGCAAAGCCCAGAGAUAAGCUCAGGGAGAACCUGAAUAAUGGCCUCGGGAAACCCUCAAUUACUUUCUGCUGAUGAGCCGGGAGCUGGUGUGAUGAUGCAGCACCAUGGCCAGUCUGGAGGUGGGAAAAUUGUUGGAGCCUUGGAUGGAAAGGUGGACAACAGCACUGCAGGCAUAAAACUGCCCCUAUGUUACCUGACGUGCAAGCCAAUGCUAGCUACUGAAGAAGAUAACUCCAGAGAGCACCUGCCUCUGCUUUACGGUUUUUAACCUGAUAGCUGUAUAAAAUAAACAACUUCAGAGCAGAA